This 478-nucleotide ribosomal RNA is filed under the name uncultured bacterium. RNAcentral describes it as "bacterial SSU rRNA". It matches the Rfam family "Bacterial small subunit ribosomal RNA", at positions 28 to 507 of the family's 1533-position model. The record is from RNAcentral.
GACGAACGCUGGCGGCGUGCUUAACACAUGCAAGUCGAGCGAGGCCCUCUCUUCGGGGGGGUGCCCUAGCGGCGAACGGGUGAGUAACACGUGGGCAACCUGCCCUCAGCUCUGGGAUAACUCCAAGAAAUUGGUGCUAAUACCGGAUGUGACCGCUGACCGCAUGGUCUGGUGGUGGAAAGAUUCAUCGGCUGAGGAUGGGCCCGCGGCCUAUCAGCUUGUUGGGGGGUCACGGCUCACCAAGGCGACGACGGGUAGCCGGCCUGAGAGGGUGACCGGCCACACUGGGACUGAGACACGGCCCAGACUCCUACGGGAGGCAGCAGUGGGGAAUAUUGCGCAAUGGCCUAACGGCUGACGCAGCGACGCCGCGUGUGGGAGGACGCCCCUCGGGGUGUAAACCACUGUUGCCCGGGACGAAACCCCUGAAUCAUCAGGGCUGACGGUACCGGGUGAGGAAGCACCGGCUAACUCCGUG